RNAcentral lists this non-coding RNA (31 nucleotides) under Rattus norvegicus (Norway rat). The record is from RNAcentral. Lineage: Eukaryota; Metazoa; Chordata; Mammalia; Rodentia; Muridae.
UGGCUCUUGUAGCUUUGAAGGUGAUAUGGAC